GAUGAACGCUGGCGGCAUGUCUAAGGCAUGCAAGUUGAACGAUUCACCUUCCUUCGGGAAGACUGGAAAGUGGCAAACGGGAGAGUAACACAUUGGUAACCUACCUCGAACUCGUGAAUAGCUUGUGGAAACGCAAAGUAAUACACGAUAUUGUCCCGCAUUUAUUUGCGGGAUGAAAGAUUUAUCGGUUCGAGAGGGGCCUAUGUUCUAUCAGCUUGUUGGUGAGGUAAAAGCUCACCAAGGCUACGACGGAUACCGGGCGUGAGAGCGUGGCCCGGCUCACUGGGACUGAGACACGGCCCAGACACCUACGGGUGGCUGCAGUCAAGAAUCUUCCGCAAUGCACGAAAGUGUGACGGAGCAAUGCCGCGUGGUGGAUGAAGGCCCUCGGGUCGUAAACACCUUUUAUAAGGGACGAACAAAUGACGGUACCUUAUGAAUAAGGGGCUGCUAAUCACG
This 459-nucleotide ribosomal RNA is filed under the name uncultured bacterium. RNAcentral describes it as "bacterial SSU rRNA". It matches the Rfam family "Bacterial small subunit ribosomal RNA", at positions 28 to 505 of the family's 1533-position model. The record is from RNAcentral.